UGGGGCACGUGCUCCGCGGUGAAAGCUACCGCCAGCCCUCCCUCUGAGUCCUCACCUGACGGGUGCUGGAACCGGCCCGUCCCUCAGGUGCCAGAGCUGAGCCCACGCCAGGGACUCCUCCCUCUGGCGACCUGAAUCCACGCCCCAAGUGAUGAAGACAGCCUCGCGGUCCCCCGGACCGCCCUAAGGCGGAAGUCAGGGCCUCUACCCUCUGCCUUUAUAAGGCCCCCUGAGAUGCCCACCGCACAAAUGCAGACGAUGUGAGUGCACUGAGUUGGCCUUCGCCUUCCAUGGACUUAAGCCUGACCGCUUUGAACCAAGAGUGGAACACAACCCCCCAGGUUUGUUGUCUUGGCACAUACAGGUAAGGCAAUAAAUCUGUAAAUAACUUAAGGACAAUUAACAUUUCCGGCAUUCUGAAUCUGUCAGGAACAUUUUAUAGUUGUCUCCAUGAAGGUCUUGAACAUUUUUGUGAAGCUUUUUCUUAGGUGAUCUUUGGAUUUUCAUGCCGUGGUGAAUGGGAUACGUAAACAAUUUUCAUAAUGCACUUAUCAUCCUCCACUUCUUUGCGUUUUCCCAGAGACAAAUCAAUAAAAGGUUGCAGUGUCAAUGAGACAGAGGGUAGUGUCUUUUUACAAAAUUUAUUUUUUCCAGCUUUAUUGAACUGUACUUGACAAAUAAAAAUUGCAUGCCUUUAAGGUAUAUAAUAUGAUGUUUCGAUACGUAUUGUGAAAU
Long non-coding RNA from Acinonyx jubatus (cheetah), 735 nucleotides. RefSeq lists it as uncharacterized. The record is from RefSeq and is a predicted model, not a curated record. NCBI's taxonomy places the organism in Eukaryota, Metazoa, Chordata, Mammalia, Carnivora, Felidae. The transcript is spliced from 3 exons.